Molecule: ribosomal RNA, 1344 nt
Filed under: Bacillus subtilis
Lineage: Bacteria; Bacillati; Bacillota; Bacilli; Caryophanales; Bacillaceae
Description: bacterial SSU rRNA
Rfam family: Bacterial small subunit ribosomal RNA
Source: RNAcentral
CCUAAUACAUGCAAGUCGAGCGGACAGAUGGGAGCUUGCUCCNGAUGUUAGCGGCGGACGGGUGAGUAACACGUGGGUAACCUGCCUGUAAGACUGGGAUAACUCCGGGAAACCGGGGCUAAUACCGGAUGGUUGUUUGAACCGCAUGGUUCAAACAUAAAAGGUGGCUUCGGCUACCACUUACAGAUGGACCCGCGGCGCAUUAGCUAGUUGGUGAGGUAACGGCUCACCAAGGCGACGAUGCGUAGCCGACCUGAGAGGGUGAUCGGCCACACUGGGACUGAGACACGGCCCAGACUCCUACGGGAGGCAGCAGUAGGGAAUCUUCCGCAAUGGACGAAAGUCUGACGGAGCAACGCCGCGUGAGUGAUGAAGGUUUUCGGAUCGUAAAGCUCUGUUGUUAGGGAAGAACAAGUACCGUUCGAAUAGGGCGGUACCUUGACGGUACCUAACCAGAAAGCCACGGCUAACUACGUGCCAGCAGCCGCGGUAAUACGUAGGUGGCAAGCGUUGUCCGGAAUUAUUGGGCGUAAAGGGCUCGCAGGCGGUUUCUUAAGUCUGAUGUGAAAGCCCCCGGCUCAACCGGGGAGGGUCAUUGGAAACUGGGGAACUUGAGUGCAGAAGAGGAGAGUGGAAUUCCACGUGUAGCGGUGAAAUGCGUAGAGAUGUGGAGGAACACCAGUGGCGAAGGCGACUCUCUGGUCUGUAACUGACGCUGAGGAGCGAAAGCGUGGGGAGCGAACAGGAUUAGAUACCCUGGUAGUCCACGCCGUAAACGAUGAGUGCUAAGUGUUAGGGGGUUUCCGCCCCUUAGUGCUGCAGCUAACGCAUUAAGCACUCCGCCUGGGGAGUACGGUCGCAAGACUGAAACUCAAAGGAAUUGACGGGGGCCCGCACAAGCGGUGGAGCAUGUGGUUUAAUUCGAAGCAACGCGAAGAACCUUACCAGGUCUUGACAUCCUCUGACAAUCCUAGAGAUAGGACGUCCCCUUCGGGGGCAGAGUGACAGGUGGUGCAUGGUUGUCGUCAGCUCGUGUCGUGAGAUGUUGGGUUAAGUCCCGCAACGAGCGCAACCCUUGAUCUUAGUUGCCAGCAUUCAGUUGGGCACUCUAAGGUGACUGCCGGUGACAAACCGGAGGAAGGUGGGGAUGACGUCAAAUCAUCAUGCCCCUUAUGACCUGGGCUACACACGUGCUACAAUGGACAGAACAAAGGGCAGCGAAACCGCGAGGUUAAGCCAAUCCCACAAAUCUGUUCUCAGUUCGGAUCGCAGUCUGCAACUCGACUGCGUGAAGCUGGAAUCGCUAGUAAUCGCGGAUCAGCAUGCCGCGGUGAAUACGUUCCC